UCAUUAAAUCAGUUAUCGUUUAUUUGAUAGUACCUUACUACUUGGAUAACCCGUGGUAAUUCUAGAGCUAAUACAUGCUAAAAACCUCGACUUCGGAAGGGGUGUAUUUAUUAGAUAAAAAACCAAUGCCCUUCGGGGCUCACUGGUGAUUCAUAAUAACUUAACGAAUCGCAUGGCCUUGUGCCGGCGAUGGUUCAUUCAAAUUUCUGCCCUAUCAACUUUCGAUUGUUGGGUCUUGGCCAACAAUGGUUUCAACGGGUAACGGGGAAUUAGGGUUCUAUUCCGGAGAGGGAGCCUGAGAAACGGCUACCACAUCCAAGGAAGGCAGCAGGCGCGCAAAUUACCCAAUCCUGAUACAGGGAGGUAGUGACAAUAAAUACUGAUACAGGGCUCUUUUGGGUCUUGUAAUUGGAAUGAGUACAAUUUAAAUCCCUUAACGAGGAACAAUUGGAGGGCAAGUCUGGUGCCAGCAGCCGCGGUAAUUCCAGCUCCAAUAGCGUAUAUUAAAGUUGUUGCAGUUAAAAAGCUCGUAGUUGAACCUUGGGCCUGGCUGGCCGGUCCGCCUCACCGCGUGCACUGGUCCGGCCGGGCCUUUCCUCCUGGGGAGCCGCAUGCCCUUCACUGGGUGUGUCGGGGAACCAGGACUUUUACUUUGAAAAAAUUAGAGUGUUCAAAGCAGGCCUAUGCUCGAAUACAUUAGCAUGGAAUAAUAGAAUAGGACGUGUGGUUCUAUUUUGUUGGUUUCUAGGACCGCCGUAAUGAUUAAUAGGGACAGUUGGGGGCAUCAGUAUUUAAUUGUCAGAGGUGAAAUUCUUGGAUUUAUUAAAGACUAACUACUGCGAAAGCAUUUGCCAAAGAUGUUUUCAUUAAUCAGUGAACGAAAGUUAGGGGAUCGAAGACGAUCAGAUACCGUCGUAGUCUUAACCAUAAACUAUGCCGACUAGGGAUCGGGCGAUGUUAUCUUUUUGACUCGCUCGGCACCUUACGAGAAAUCAAAGUCUUUGG
This 1005-nucleotide ribosomal RNA is filed under the name Nagrajchalara nawawii. RNAcentral's name for it is "SSU rRNA". It matches the Rfam family "Eukaryotic small subunit ribosomal RNA", at positions 98 to 1110 of the family's 1831-position model. The record is from RNAcentral. Lineage: Eukaryota; Fungi; Ascomycota; Leotiomycetes; Helotiales.